Molecule: long non-coding RNA, 200 nt
Organism: Eurytemora carolleeae
Lineage: Eukaryota; Metazoa; Arthropoda; Copepoda; Calanoida; Temoridae
Exons: 2
Source: RefSeq, a predicted model, not a curated record
UUUAGAUUGACAAUAAUCUAGGUGAUCGCUGCAGAGGGGGAGAAGAAGGCAAGCAGAGCUUUGCGGGAAGCAUCCAACAUGAUUUCCGAAGGUUCAGCCGCAUUGCAGCUUAGAUACUUACAGACUCUGAACUCUAUAUCUGCUGAGAAGAAUUCUACCAUUAUAUUUCCAGUUCCAAUUGAUGUACUCGGUCUGUUUAU